UAUCCCCCGCUUAAACCUCCACUCCCGUUAACUCAUCGACCAAUUAGGGCAUUUCUACCAAUUUCCUCCCCUCCGGCAACCACCUCCUCCUCCGCUCUCUUCCACCAGUACCACCGCCGUAGCUUGCCACCAGUUCUAUUAGACCGUAGGAUGAAGAUUGUGGUUGCGGAUAGUCAAACAGUCAGACGUAACGGGCAGCACCCGUCGCCGAGGACCAUUUUCCGGGUCGCAUCCGCCUCCGCCGGAAUCAAGUCGGGUGGAACUUCUCUUGGAAACUGGAUGAAACCAUCACCUGGUUCUAUAAUUAGAGAAGGUAAGAAGGGGUGGUAAUUUUAAUUAUUUUAUUUUAUUUUUAUUUUUGUUAAAGUCCUUUGAAUUUAGAUGCCGACUCAACGAUUAAAUUGUUCGAGACUCGAGAGAACAACAAAUUAGUGAUCAUAUUCAGUUACUUAGUUCACCAUUUGUGGAUUUUGAGCUGAUGCACCUAGUUCAAGUGAAAAUCAGGGGUUGUUUGGGUAGCACGAUAAUUGUAGGGUUAAAUCAAAUCCGAAAUUAAAUUCAUCGUUAAAAUCUAAUGAAAUCGGAAUUAGUACUUAGUGAAAAUUUAAUUCCAAUUCCAUUCCAAAAAGAAAUUCAGAUAUCGGAAUUAUAGGAAUUGGAAUGAAAUGUUUUAUAAGUGUUCAGAGGUGAAUGCUCUUUAUUCUGGCGAUAAUUAGAUGAGUUCCAUUUAAUUUCUGCAAACAGGUUUUCAGCCUUCACAAGUGAAAGUUCGUGUUAGGGGCAAUUAACGAGUCCUGUUAAUUGGUGAUUGCUACUGGAUUAGUAGUCAUGCGGCCGACCUGAAGCUGAUUCUAACAUCAUAGGAGCUACUUAUAAGGUACUUGGUUCUAUUCGAUUUUGUUUGCAUUAUUACUUGGAAGAGUUUUAAGCAUAGAAAUCUGGUGAACACGAUUCUCACUUAGCAUGAUAC
RNAcentral lists this long non-coding RNA (970 nucleotides) under Erythranthe guttata (spotted monkey flower). RNAcentral's name for it is "long non-coding RNA (EGUT_LNC001230)". Lineage: Eukaryota; Viridiplantae; Streptophyta; Magnoliopsida; Lamiales; Phrymaceae. The record is from RNAcentral.